This 564-nucleotide ribosomal RNA is filed under the name uncultured bacterium. RNAcentral's name for it is "bacterial SSU rRNA". It matches the Rfam family "Bacterial small subunit ribosomal RNA", at positions 336 to 916 of the family's 1533-position model. The record is from RNAcentral.
CUCCUACGGGAGGCAGCAGCAAGGAAUAUUGGGCAAUGGCCGAAAGGCUGACCCAGCGACGCCGCGUGGGGGAGGAAGGCCUUCGGGUUGUAAACCCCUUUUCUCAAGGAAGAAGAUGACGGUACUUGAGGAAGAAGCCCCGGCUAACUACGUGCCAGCAGCCGCGGUAAUACGUAGGGGGCGAGCGUUGUCCGGAAUUACUGGGCGUAAAGCGCGCGUAGGUGGCGCGUCAAGAUCGGCGUGAAAUCCCCGGGCUCACCUCGGGGGGGUCGUCGGUGACUGGCGUGCUUGGGUUCCGCAGAGGCAGGUAGAAUUCCCGGUGGAGCGGUGAAAUGCGUAGAGAUCGGGAGGAAUACCAGUGGCGAAGGCGGCCUGCUGGGCGGCAACCGACGCUGAGGCGCGAAAGCGUGGGGAGCGAACCGGAUUAGAUACCCGGGUAGUCCACGCCCUAAACGAUGGGUACUAGGCGUGGGGGGUAUCGACCCCCUCCGUGCCGGAGCUAACGCGGUAAGUACCCCGCCUGGGGAGUACGGCCGCAAGGUUGAAACUCAAAGGAAUUGACGG